Molecule: long non-coding RNA, 461 nt
Filed under: Homo sapiens (human)
Lineage: Eukaryota; Metazoa; Chordata; Mammalia; Primates; Hominidae
Description: HSALNT0023096
Source: RNAcentral
UUUAUUAAAAAAAAAUUGAGACAGAAUCUCACUAUGUUGCCUCACCCAGGCUGGAGCACAGUGGCGCCAUCUCAGCUCUCUGCAACCUCUGCCUCCUGGGUUCAAGCAAUUCUCCCACCUCAGCCUCUCAAGUAGCGGGGACUACAGGCACGUGCCACUCUGCCUGGCUAAAUUUUUGUAUUUUUACUAGAGAUGGGGUUUCACUAUGUUGGCCAGGCUGGUCUCCAACUCCUGACCUCAGGUGAUCCUCCCACUUCAGCCUCCCGAAGUACUGGGAUUACAGGCAUGAGCCACCGCACCCAACCUUGUUUUUUUAGAGUCAGGUCUCGCUGUCGUCCAGACUGGUGCAGCGAUGUGUUCACAGUUAAGGGGACUACAGGGAGGGACAUGGAGGAUGAGGCCACACUGAGAGGGAAGGCCAGUGUCAUGGUGAUGGUUUCACAGGAUAGAAAAAACACAGG